Molecule: ribosomal RNA, 166 nt
Filed under: Hymenaea eriogyne
Lineage: Eukaryota; Viridiplantae; Streptophyta; Magnoliopsida; Fabales; Fabaceae
Description: 5.8S ribosomal RNA
Rfam family: 5.8S ribosomal RNA
About the family: 5.8S ribosomal RNA (5.8S rRNA) is a component of the large subunit of the eukaryotic ribosome. It is transcribed by RNA polymerase I as part of the 45S precursor that also contains 18S and 28S rRNA. Functionally, it is thought that 5.8S rRNA may be involved in ribosome translocation.
Source: RNAcentral
AAUGACUCUCGGCAACGGAUAUCUCGGCUCUCGCAUCGAUGAAGAACGUAGCGAAAUGCGAUACUUGGUGUGAAUUGCAGAAUCCCGUGAACCAUCGAGUUUUUGAACGCAAGUUGCACCCGAAGCCAUUAGGCCGAGGGUACGUCUGGCUGGGUGUCACACAAUG